GGUUAUGGCUCAGUGGUAGAGAACUUGCCCAGCACGUGUGAGGCCCUGGGUUCAAUCCUCAGCACCA
RNAcentral lists this transfer RNA (67 nucleotides) under Marmota monax (woodchuck). Its description in RNAcentral is "tRNA.Ala". Lineage: Eukaryota; Metazoa; Chordata; Mammalia; Rodentia; Sciuridae. The record is from RNAcentral.